This 253-nucleotide ribosomal RNA is filed under the name uncultured bacterium. Its description in RNAcentral is "partial 16S ribosomal RNA". It matches the Rfam family "Bacterial small subunit ribosomal RNA", at positions 524 to 776 of the family's 1533-position model. The record is from RNAcentral.
GACGAACCGUGCGAACGUUGUUCGGAAUCACUGGGCUUAAAGGGCGCGUAGGCGGGCAUUCAAGUCAGGGGUGAAAUCCUCCAGCUUAACUGGGGAACUGCCUUUGAUACUGGGUGCCUCGAGUGAGGUAGGGGCGUGCGGAACUGAUGGUGGAGCGGUGAAAUGUGUUGAUAUCAUCAGGAACUCCGGUGGCGAAAGCGGCGCGCUGGACCUUAACUGACGCUGAGGCGCGAAAGCCAGGGGAGCAAACGGG